CCUACGGGAGGCAGCAGUGGGGGAUAUUGCACAAUGGGGGGAACCCUGAUGCAGCGACGCCGCGUGGGUGAAGAAGAGCCUCGGCGCGUAAAGCCCUGUCAGCAGGGAAGAAAAGGACGGUACCUGAAGAAGAAGCCCCGGCGAACUACGUGCCAGCAGCCGCGGUAAGACGUAGGGGGCAAGCGUUAUCCGGAUUUACUGGGUGUAAAGGGGGCGCAGACGGCGAUGCAAGCCAGGAGUGAAAGCCCGGGGCCCAACCCCGGGACUGCUCUUGGAACUGCGUGGCGGGAGUGCAGUAGGGGCUGGCGGAAUUCCUGUUGUAGCGGUGACCUGCGUAGAUAUCAGGAG
This 348-nucleotide ribosomal RNA is filed under the name uncultured bacterium. RNAcentral describes it as "partial 16S ribosomal RNA". It matches the Rfam family "Bacterial small subunit ribosomal RNA", at positions 338 to 703 of the family's 1533-position model. The record is from RNAcentral.